GCGUCCGUAGCUCAGUUGGUUAGAGCACCACCUUGACAUGGUGGGGUCGAUGGUUCGAGUCCAUUCGGACGCACCA
This 76-nucleotide transfer RNA is filed under the name Yersinia enterocolitica subsp. palearctica. Its description in RNAcentral is "tRNA-Val". It matches the Rfam family "tRNA". Rfam says of the family: Transfer RNA (tRNA) molecules are approximately 80 nucleotides in length. The record is from RNAcentral. Lineage: Bacteria; Pseudomonadati; Pseudomonadota; Gammaproteobacteria; Enterobacterales; Yersiniaceae.